RNAcentral lists this ribosomal RNA (41 nucleotides) under Tricholoma sp. NC-7297-1. RNAcentral describes it as "partial 18S ribosomal RNA". Lineage: Eukaryota; Fungi; Basidiomycota; Agaricomycetes; Agaricales; Tricholomataceae. The record is from RNAcentral.
AGCGUACAGGUUUCCGUAGGUGACCUGCGGAAGGAUCAUUA